UGGAAAAGAAGGAAUCUUUAAAAAAAAACAACCCCAAACACAAGCAUUCAUUAAUGGAAUAUCUUUAAGUCAAAAUCAAAAUAAACCCAAAUUUGUAGUUACAAUUGCAAUCUGGAGCUCUCAGUACAGAGUCAGAUGAAACACUAAUGUGUUUGGUUCACAAGUCACAGUAGACCUUAAUGCUGAGUGUUCCCUGUUUCUGUUUACAGUUCUGCUAUGGUCCAGAGGAGAAGAUUAGAAGAAUCCUAAGCUAAAAUAACAUCAGUAAAAAAAGCUCUGUGGUAAUGUUUCAAGAUUUGAUGCAAUUUAAAACAGACCUACAAGGGAGUAGGACCCACUGGACUUUACUUCCAAAUACAUAAAGUCAAAGUCAAAGCAAACAGGCACUCUGAAGCAGGAAGUAUAACCCCCUGUACUACAUCAGUUUCUCCAAAAGUAUUGAUCUCACACUUCUUCACCCCCAUUAUUUCCAUAUCUCAAAAUUAUGUCUCUGAUCUUCAAUAUUUAGACUACAAGACUGGUACUGGACUAUUUCUCUGAAGAAUAUCCCUUUCCCAUUGAGACUGUAUUCUUAAAUCCAAAACAAGAACUUGAUCUUUCAUCAACUGAUUAUUAUUUAGCCUAUCAACCAAUCAUCACUUUAAUACAGGAAGGCCUUUUUUUGGGGGGAGCAAUAAUCCUAUAAAAGAAGUCCAGACCACAGAGAGGAAGUGUAGACAUGAUGCAGUAAAUGUGUCAAACAUUGAUGGCAGAGAUGGGAAAUGUGUAGCCUUUCAGAUGUUGCUGGACUGUAAUUUCCAACACACCUUGCCAGCCUCAUCAAUAGUGAUGGAUGAUAGAGACUGCAGUCUAAUAACAUCUGGAUGGUUAUAUACUCCCUAUUCCCAGUUUAAGGUGUGUUGCAGUAAAUCAAUUCAUAACUGAACUAUUUCUAUAUCUGUGUCUUUAUACUUCUCACGCAGUCAUUCAUAUAUGAUGAACAAAACAUUUCCAAAAGGACAAUACAUUCUGUAUGUACUACAGUACCCUAAUUACAAGCUUAUUCCAGAGAAAGCAAUUAUAUUUAGGUGAUGAUGACUAAAGUUACUAGUGAUACCAUUCGUUGCAUUCUAAUUGAGAUUUUUUAAGAUGCACCCUCAUUAAGGUGCAUCCUUGCCAAGAUUUUAAAAGGCACAUCCUACCUUUCAAGCAUCCUUAUUGAGAUUUUGAAAGAAACUGAAUAUGCAUCCAACAUUUAUAUUUGAAUGAAUGGCUUGAGGUUUUCAUCCUGCAUUGCAAUCAAUACCAUAAAUGGGAGUGACUGAAGGACAAGUAUGGGUUAUACACUUUACAUGAUUUGAUUCAUAGUCUUAGUGCUAGAGGAAAGGUGUCUAGCCUCUGGGAAGUCUUUUGGCAAUUCUCACACAGCUGCUUAGUGCUAAAUGCUAAAGUAUCAAGCAAAAACUGCAGGAUGUUGUUACUCAGACAUCAUCUUAAACAAACAAAUUAAGUUUACACCAUCAUGUCCAGAAUGAGGAGGAGGCAUAAAGGCAAGAAAAAGAGUUCAAGUAGGAUCUGUGCUGGGGCAAAUGAUAGCUAGAAUCCUGUUGGUGACUUACAGUCCCUUAUUCAAAGGCACGUUUUGAAGUGGUCCAUAGUGAGAGAAGUAGUCAAUAUGACAAAAGAAGAUAACAUACAACCACUAUGAAAUUAAACAAAAACAAAAAAUGAUGGAAGCAAUACACAGAAGAGCUAUAUAAAAGAGAAGAAAGGAAGAAUAACAUAUGGGAAGAAGCACCAUAUGAAGAUAAACCCCAAAUUCUGGAAAGUGAAGUAAAAGGGGCACUCCAAGCAAUUGGGAAGAAUACAUAACCAGGAUCAGAUGACAUACCAAUAGAAUUGCUGCAAUGUAGUGAGAGAGAAUCAACCUCAGUUCUAGCUAAAAUCUGCCAACAAAUAUGGGAUACAAAACAGUGAUCCACAGAUUGGAAACAAUAUACAUUCCUAUUCCUAAAAAAGGAGACACAAAAGAGUGCAGCUGCUACAGAACCAUUGCACUAAUCUCCCAUGUAAGCAAAAUCAUGCAUAAAAUUUUGCAACACAGAUUCCUACUAUAGGAUGUUCCAGAGGUGCAAGCUGGAUUCAGAAAAUGAAGAGACACUAGGGACCACAUAGGAAACUUGCUAUGGAUAAUGGAGUACACCAGGCAAUUCCAGAAGAAAAUAAGGAUGUGUUUUAUAGAAAUGACAAAGACUUUGACUGUACAGAUAAUAAAAAACUAU
Molecule: long non-coding RNA, 2261 nt
Organism: Sceloporus undulatus (fence lizard)
Lineage: Eukaryota; Metazoa; Chordata; Lepidosauria; Squamata; Phrynosomatidae
Exons: 3
Source: RefSeq, a predicted model, not a curated record